CCUACGGGUGGCUGCAGUGGGGAAUAUUGCACAAUGGGGGAAACCCUGAUGCAGCAACGCCGCGUGAGCGAUGAAGGCCUUCGGGUCGUAAAGCUCUGUCGUAAGGGAAGAAUACUGACGGUACCUUAGGAGGACGCCCCGGCUAACUACGUGCCAGCAGCCGCGGUAAUACGUAGGGGGCUAGCGUUAUGCGGAAUUACUGGGCGUAAAGGGUGCGUAGGCGGCCCUUAUAGUCAGAGGUGAAAGGCUACGGCUCAACCGUAGUAAGCCUUUGAAACUGUAGUGCUUGAGGGGAGGAGAGGGGAGUUUGACUCGCAGUGUAUUGGUGAAAUGGGUAGGUAUAGGGAGGAACACGAGUUGCGAGGGCUGCUCUCUGGUCUGUAACUGACGCUUUGGCACGAAGGCGUGGGGAGCGAAGAGGAUUAGAUACCCUCUUAGUC
This 440-nucleotide ribosomal RNA is filed under the name uncultured bacterium. RNAcentral's name for it is "partial 16S ribosomal RNA". It matches the Rfam family "Bacterial small subunit ribosomal RNA", at positions 338 to 795 of the family's 1533-position model. The record is from RNAcentral.